UACAGAGGUGGCUAGCGUUGUUCGGAAUUACUGGGCGUAAAGGGCGCGUAGGCGGCUUCGUAAGUCCUGUGUGAAAUCCCCCGGCUCAACUGGGGAACUGCACAGGAGACUGCGAGGCUCGAGUUCAGGAGAGGGAAGCGGAAUUCCGGGUGUAGCGGUGAAAUGCGUAGAUAUCCGGAGGAACACCGGUGGCGAAGGCGGCUUCCUGGACUGACACUGACGCUGAGGCGCGAAAGCUAGGGUAGCAAACGGG
This 253-nucleotide ribosomal RNA is filed under the name uncultured bacterium. RNAcentral's name for it is "partial 16S ribosomal RNA". It matches the Rfam family "Bacterial small subunit ribosomal RNA", at positions 524 to 776 of the family's 1533-position model. The record is from RNAcentral.